Molecule: long non-coding RNA, 480 nt
Organism: Notothenia coriiceps (black rockcod)
Lineage: Eukaryota; Metazoa; Chordata; Actinopteri; Perciformes; Nototheniidae
Exons: 3
Source: RefSeq, a predicted model, not a curated record
CGGUGUCCUUUUGUGACCUCACAUCCUGUUUUCCUCACUUCCUUUGAAUGGACCGGUUUGGGACGGUCCUGUCUCCGCGCGGCGUGGAGCUGUGUUGUUUCGGCGCCUGUCUGCUGACACAUGUUCGAUCUCCAGUGUUGCUAGGCUGCUGAACGGGGCACGCGAGCUAACUUUUGAUGCAACCGUUAGUUCACCUGACUAUGCAACGUCUCGUGCAUUGAUUGAGAAGAGAAAAGUGUCGUUGUUGAACUUCAGACAGAAUGAAGACGAAAGAGCCGACGAUUAUAAACCAGGGACUGGAGGAUGAGAUGGAGGUGUGGGGUUAUCGGCCCUGUGUAUGGAAGAUGAUCCUGGUGGGUGUAGGGACCGUGUGCUCCGGGGGUCUCCUGCUGCUCCUACUCUACUGGCUGCCUGAGUGGGGCGUUAAGGGUACCUGCACACACACCUCGCUGAGAGACGCACACACACUCCUGCUCAGGA